RNAcentral lists this long non-coding RNA (1444 nucleotides) under Heterocephalus glaber (naked mole-rat). RNAcentral's name for it is "lncRNA (ENSHGLG00100045445.1)". The record is from RNAcentral. Lineage: Eukaryota; Metazoa; Chordata; Mammalia; Rodentia; Bathyergidae.
UUUGGGGUGAUUCGGUAUGCAGCAGUAAUAGCCACCACCAUCUCCCUGAACAUCAUUCUUUAAACCUGUGUUGAUAACUAGUACACACAGCGCCUGCAGGGCCCCACCCUGUCUCCUGGCCAAAGAGACUCAAGAAAUCCGGGCAGAGAAUGGUGCUCCCUGCUGCCCAGCGGAGAUGACCACUUCACGGAGAGCAGAGAGAGGAAGGAGGAGGAGAGCGAAAAGAAAGGUCCUCUUUCAGGCUGAGGACGCUGUGGAGUGGCCUCCCCUGGCCUGCCAAGAGCUGACUCACCGGCCGGGACACAGCAUUACAGGUGCACUCAGCACAGACAAUGGAUGCUUUUUAUACACAGCCCCACGCCUGACCGAGACUGACCACUGGGGUCAGGUAGAGACGGUGCCCCAGGGAGUAUGGGCCUGGAGGCAUGAGUAGGAGAGGACCUGGCCUGGAAGCUGCCAUUCUCCAGCCUUCCAGAGCUGGGGUCUGAGCAUUCACAGCCAUGGAGACCCUGCAAUUUCAUGGCCAAGGGACUUCUGAGGUUGGAGGCAGGGAGAAGCGCAGGGUUACUGACACGCAGGCUGUUCACGGCUCUGACAUCGGCAGCUGUGUGAACGGGGGCAAGAUCCUGAGGCUCCCUGGGCCUCAGCCUUCUCAUCUGUACCAUGGAAGAGAUGGCAGCAACCCAGUGGGCUGUGCAGAGUCCAGCUCUAGGAUCUUUAUCUCUCACGCCUGGCACAUCUCAGGGACGCAGACCCACGUGCUGAAAGGACAGACACACAGACAGGGAGCAAGGGAGAGCAGGGCGUGGACAGAAGCUUCUGGAAAAGCUGCCGUUGAGGAAGGGCUCUGGGAGACAGAGGCUGCCGGGAGGAGAGCUGAGCAGCUCCAGCCUGGCGGUGGACCUCAGGGUGAGGUGAAGGUGGGAGACAGAGCCCCACACAGAGGCUGGACAGCUGCGUCCCCUGUUCUGGGUCCCCAGGGUCUGCGGUGGGCACAGGGCAGCCACUGAAGUGAGGAGCCCCUGUCCCCCCCUCACAGAACCCGAGGGCCAUGCCUGGGGCCUGGCGUCCGCUUGUCACCGGGAGAAAAGCCAGUUUGUCCUGCAGACCCUACAGCCAGAGCAGGCACAAGUGCUGGAGAUAAGAGGAUCUUGAACAAAUAAACUCCUCUGCAGGGGCUUGCACGAGGAGAGAGCAGGAGCUUUCUCUCCCUGUCUUUUCUCUCCCUUUCUUUUCUCUUUCUCCUUCUUCUUUCUUUAUUUUUUCUCUCAUAGUCACUCUCUUCCUUUCUUUUGUCUCUUCCAUUCUUUCUUUUUUUUAAAGUUUUUUUAACUUAAAAAAAAAAUUUAGUCUUUUAAAAAUUUAUUUUAGUGAUCCCAAUAUCUGUAUUUAAUCUGUUUUUUUUGUUUAUUAGCAUAUGUUUGUGACAUAAUGAAUAUAUUCA